CCUACGGGCGGCAGCAGUGGGGAAUAUUGGACAAUGGGCGAAAGCCUGAUCCAGCCAUGCCGCGUGUGUGAAGAAGGCCUUCGGGUUGUAAAGCACUUUCAGUGGGGAAGAAAGCCUUGGGGCUAAUACCCUCGAGGAAGGACAUCACCCACAGAAGAAGCACCGGCUAACUCCGUGCCAGCAGCCGCGGUAAUACGGAGGGUGCGAGCGUUAAUCGGAAUUACUGGGCGUAAAGCGCGCGUAGGCGGUCUGAUAAGCCGGUUGUGAAAGCCCCGGGCUCAACCAGGGAACGGCAUCCGGAACUGUCAGGCUAGAGUGCAGGAGAGGAAGGUAGAAUUCCCGGUGUAGCGGUGAAAUGCGUAGAGAUCGGGAGGAAUACCAGUGGCGAAGGCGGCCUUCUGGACUGACACUGACGCUGAGGUGCGAAAGCGUGGGUAGCAAACAGGAUUAGAUACCCCUGUAGUC
RNAcentral lists this ribosomal RNA (465 nucleotides) under Vreelandella stevensii. RNAcentral's name for it is "partial 16S ribosomal RNA". It matches the Rfam family "Bacterial small subunit ribosomal RNA", at positions 338 to 795 of the family's 1533-position model. The record is from RNAcentral. Lineage: Bacteria; Pseudomonadati; Pseudomonadota; Gammaproteobacteria; Oceanospirillales; Halomonadaceae.